This is a long non-coding RNA of Panicum virgatum (switchgrass), 497 nucleotides long. RefSeq lists it as uncharacterized. Lineage: Eukaryota; Viridiplantae; Streptophyta; Magnoliopsida; Poales; Poaceae. The transcript has 2 exons. The record is from RefSeq and is a predicted model, not a curated record.
GGCCGGCUACGAUCGGACCGAUCCCUCCUAUGUUCCUCAAGAUGCUCAGCUGGGCGUGGGCAAGGCCAAGAAUGGUGUCAUGGUGGAGUGCAGAAUCUGCCAGGAGGAAGGUGACGAGGCGUACAUGGAGGCCCCCUGCUCCUGCAAGGGCAGCUUGAAAGCAAGCUUAAUUUCCUCUGCUUCUCAUUUCGGUGUUCCAGUUUGAUCCUUGGCUAUCAUGAAGUUUGCAUUGAAAUUGGGCACAACUGCUGCAACAUCUUAGGAAGAAAAAUGUUAUGCUUCAAGGCCUGAAUGGUUAAAGAUGUAUUGCUUGGCAACUUUCUGUUCAUGGUAGCAUUUUCUAUGCAUGUAAAUGACUUGAAGUAGUUCAGUUUUGGACUUCAAUUUUUAUAGUUGUAAGGUGGUUAAAGAAUCAUGUGGAAACAAUGUUUGAACAAAUUUGGGCCGUUUGUUUUUGAAAUCCACAUGCUUGAAUUGCUGUUUGCAUGAUUGAACAA